UACGGAGGAUCCGAGCGUUAUCCGGAAUUAUUGGGUUUAAAGGGUUCGUAGGCGGUUUAGUAAGUCAGUGGUGAAAUCUUACAGCUUAACUGUAAAAUUGCCGUUGAUACUGCUAGACUUGAAUAGUAUGGAAGUAAUUAGAAUAUGUAGUGUAGCGGUGAAAUGCUUAGAUAUUACAUGGAAUACCAAUUGCGAAGGCAGAUUACUACGUACUUAUUGACGCUGAUGAACGAAAGCGUGGGUAGCGAACAGG
This 253-nucleotide ribosomal RNA is filed under the name uncultured bacterium. Its description in RNAcentral is "partial 16S ribosomal RNA". It matches the Rfam family "Bacterial small subunit ribosomal RNA", at positions 524 to 776 of the family's 1533-position model. The record is from RNAcentral.